Molecule: ribosomal RNA, 252 nt
Filed under: uncultured bacterium
Lineage: Bacteria
Description: partial 16S ribosomal RNA
Rfam family: Bacterial small subunit ribosomal RNA
Source: RNAcentral
UACGUAGGUCCCGAGCGUUGUCCGGAUUUAUUGGGCGUAAAGCGAGCGCAGGUGGUUUAUUAAGUCUGGUGUAAAAGGCAGUGGCUCAACCAUUGUAUGCAUUGGAAACUGGUAGACUUGAGUGCAGGAGAGGAGAGUGGAAUUCCAUGUGUAGCGGUGAAAUGCGUAGAUAUAUGGAGGAACACCGGUGGCGAAAGCGGCUCUCUGGCCUGUAACUGACACUGAGGCGCGAAAGCUGGGGGAGCGAACAGG